GACCGCUCCGGUGGCCUAGUGGUUAUAGCGUCCUCCUCGGAUGCGGGAGGUUGCGGUUUCGAACCCCGACCGAGUCA
Molecule: non-coding RNA, 77 nt
Organism: Potamilus streckersoni
Lineage: Eukaryota; Metazoa; Mollusca; Bivalvia; Unionida; Unionidae
Source: the annotation of a GenBank genome assembly